AAAGUGUCUGUGGGGCUCAAGUUUGAGUUGAAACCAGGCGCAGGGUCCACCUGUCCUCGCUGAUCCGUGGAUUUCUGUGUGACCAGCUGACACCUAUGGAGCUGUGGCCCUGACUACUACCAGCUUGCUCAUCCCUCUACUCACACAGUCACCCCUCCCCUCACUCUCAUUUAUGCUUCACCUGUG
Long non-coding RNA from Diceros bicornis minor, 186 nucleotides. RefSeq lists it as uncharacterized. Lineage: Eukaryota; Metazoa; Chordata; Mammalia; Perissodactyla; Rhinocerotidae. The transcript has 3 exons. The record is from RefSeq and is a predicted model, not a curated record.